This 125-nucleotide small RNA is filed under the name Marmota monax (woodchuck). The record is from RNAcentral. Lineage: Eukaryota; Metazoa; Chordata; Mammalia; Rodentia; Sciuridae.
GCCGGGCAUGGUGGUGCACACCUGUAAUCCCAGCAGCUUUAGAGGCUGAGGCAGGAGGAUCAUGAGUUCAAAGCCAGCCUCAGCAAUGGUGAAGCACUAAGCAACUCAGUGAGACCCUGUCUCUA